Molecule: ribosomal RNA, 301 nt
Filed under: uncultured bacterium
Lineage: Bacteria
Description: partial 16S ribosomal RNA
Rfam family: Bacterial small subunit ribosomal RNA
Source: RNAcentral
CAGUGCCGCGGGAAUACAGAGGGUGCGAGCGUUAAUCGGAUUUACUGGGCGUAAAGCGUGCGUAGGCGGCUUCUUAAGUCGGAUGUGAAAUCCCUGAGCUUAACUUAGGAAUUGCAUUCGAUACUGGGAAGCUAGAGUAUGGGAGAGGAUGGUAGAAUUCCAGGUGUAGCGGUGAAAUGCGUAGAGAUCUGGAGGAAUACCGAUGGCGAAGGCAGCCAUCUGGCCUAAUACUGACGCUGAGGUACGAAAGCAUGGGGAGCAAACAGGAUUAGAUACCCCUGUAGUCCCUGUCUCUUAUACC